RNAcentral lists this ribosomal RNA (447 nucleotides) under uncultured bacterium. RNAcentral describes it as "partial 16S ribosomal RNA". It matches the Rfam family "Bacterial small subunit ribosomal RNA", at positions 28 to 523 of the family's 1533-position model. The record is from RNAcentral.
GACGAACGCUGGCGGCAGGCUUAACACAUGCAAGUCGAACGCCCCGCAAGGGGAGUGGCAGACGGGUGAGUAACACGUGGGAACGUACCCUUCGGUUCGGAAUAACUUGGGGAAACUCAAGCUAAUACCGGAUAAGCCCUUAUGGGGAAAGGUUUACUGCCGAAGGAUCGGCCCGCGUCUGAUUAGCUAGUGGGUGAGGUAAUGGCUCACCAAGGCGACGAUCAGUAGCUGGUCUGAGUGGAUGAUCAGCCACACUGGGACUGAGACACGGCCCAGACUCCUACGGGAGGCAGCAGUGGGGAAUAUUGGACAAUGGGGGCAACCCUGAUCCAGCCAUGCCGCGUGAGUGAUGAAGGCCUUAGGGUUGUAAAGCUCUUUUACCCGGGACGAUAAUGACUGUACCGGGAGAAUAAGCCCCGGCUAACUUCGUGCCAGCAGCCGCGGUAA